UAUAUAUAUAUAUAUAUAUUUUAGAGAAUCCAAAUCCUUUUACCAUGCCUCUGAAUCAACUUUCUCGACCUUGAAACGCUCACGAACGCAAGUAAUGUAGCUUGAAGCCUUUGUAUCAACAUUUUCAUCACCACCAUAGUCAUGGAAGCUUCUCAACUGAGCAGUAGACACCUGGGUUGAUUGGGUAUGGGGAAAAUAAUCCAUGGAGCUAUAAUAUGGGGUAUAUGGGCUAGGACUAACCUUGCUACUAGGUUGAUGAGCACUAGACACCCUUUGGAUUGAUGAAGGAUUUGCAUGGCUUUGGAAACUAGGGAAAUCCACAGAGCCAUUUUGGCUAUAUGGACUUGGACUAGCCUUAUUGCUGCCGCAUUGCCCUGGCAUAGAAGGCUUGGAAUUCACUCUAAGAAAAGUCUUGGUUUUGGCUAGCUUCCCUCUAAAGAACCCUCUUCCCUUAUGACUUGUUGUCUCCAUUUAUUAGAAUAUAGAGAACAGGUGAAGAAAUCAAACAG
Molecule: unclassified non-coding RNA, 509 nt
Filed under: Hevea brasiliensis (rubber tree)
Lineage: Eukaryota; Viridiplantae; Streptophyta; Magnoliopsida; Malpighiales; Euphorbiaceae
Source: RNAcentral